This 503-nucleotide ribosomal RNA is filed under the name Bothropolys xanti. RNAcentral's name for it is "partial 16S ribosomal RNA". It matches the Rfam family "Bacterial large subunit ribosomal RNA", at positions 1817 to 2600 of the family's 2925-position model. The record is from RNAcentral. Lineage: Eukaryota; Metazoa; Arthropoda; Chilopoda; Lithobiomorpha; Ethopolyidae.
UGCUUCUUGGUAUUUUUAUAAGAAGUAAUAUCUGCCCACUGAUGAAUUUAACGGCCGCAGUAACUUGACUGUGCGAAGGUAGCAUAAUCAAUAGUCUUUUAAUUGAAGUCUGGAAUGAAUGAUUUAAUGAAAGAGUAGCUGUUUUUUAAGAAAUUAAUGAAUUUUUAUGUUAGGUGAAGAUACUUAAAUGUAUAUAAAAGACGAGAAGACCCCGUCAAGUUUUACUUUAAAUUUAGCUAAAAGUUAAAAUUAGUGUUAGGGUUAAGGUUUAAUUGGGGCGAUUAUAAGAUAAGGAAAACUCUUAAUUUGAUAAAAUAUUAACUUGUAAAUAUUAAUAUGAUCCAUAUUUUUGAUUUCUGGAAAAAAUUACUGCGGGGAUAACAGCGUAAUGUUAUUUUAGAGUUCUUAUCGAUAAUAAAGUUUGCGACCUCGAUGUUGGAUUAAGAAUCCUUUUAGGUGUAGAAGCUUAGUAAGGUGGUCUGUUCGACCAUUAAAUUCUUACA